This 270-nucleotide ribosomal RNA is filed under the name uncultured archaeon. RNAcentral's name for it is "partial 16S ribosomal RNA". It matches the Rfam family "Archaeal small subunit ribosomal RNA", at positions 477 to 747 of the family's 1478-position model. The record is from RNAcentral.
CUGCAGCCCGAGUGGUGAUCGAUUUUAUUGAGCCUAAAGCGUCCGUAGUCGGACUAGUAAACCCUUGGGUAAAUUGGGCAGCUUAACUGUCCAAAUUCCGAGGGGACUGCUAGUCUUGGGACCGGGAGAGGUCAGAGGUACUCAAGGGGUAGGGGCUAAAUCCUGUAAUCCUUUGGGGACCACCAGUGGCGAAGGCGUCUGACUAGAACGGAUCCGACGGUAAGGGACGAAACCCUGGGGCGCGAUCCGGAUUAGAUACCCGAGUAGUCC